Non-coding RNA from Cricetulus griseus (Chinese hamster), 712 nucleotides. NCBI's taxonomy places the organism in Eukaryota, Metazoa, Chordata, Mammalia, Rodentia, Cricetidae. The record is from RefSeq and is a predicted model, not a curated record.
GCCGCCCCGUGCCAGCAUACAGGGUCGAGGUUCUCCACUCCUCUCCCUAUGACGCAGGCCGAGACCCCUCCCCUCCGGUCUCGGAUCUACAUUCUGCCCCAUCUCAUCAGUCUUGGCUCUGAUCUCCUUGCCCAGGACCACGCUGAACUCUUUUUGGCCUGGACCGGGCGGUCGUUCUCUACUUCUGCAAAUGAGGACCCUCCUUCUGGGUCCCCUGGUUCCUGAGAGGGGCAGGAAGGUCAGCACCCAGCCUCCUCCAGCAAGAAAAUGCCAUGGGGGAGGGGCCUACAAGGUCAGAGGAGCCAGGGACUGUGACUACAUGACUAGAGAGCUGACUACAUAAGAACCAACCCUGCCCUGUGUGACAAACGCCUAAGAGAACAGCUGACCUGCAGCCCCAAGUACAAACCUCACUGUGCACUGUGUCUAAAGGUUCCAACUGGAGAGGAUCAGUUGUAUCAGAUCAGGGUACUGGCCCUAGCUCUGGUAUGUGACAGGGCUGGACUUAAGGACCCUGGGUAGCCUCUUCCCCUGCAGGAGUUCAUGACAAAUCAAAGGCCUCUGGCAGCACCUGUUUUGUGGUGAUUCCAAGCCCCCAGCCCCAUAAAGCAGCCUGUUUUGGUUAGGCAGGCCAACAACACACAUUUGCUGUAGGCUGUACAGUUAAACCGUCUUUAUUUCUUUUGGUUAAAAACAAUGGAUUUCAACCUGG